UGCAACAACCCUCAUGAGAGAGAAAGAGACUAAUUUGAGAAAAAAAAUUACACAAAAUUGAAUCUUGAAAGAAAUUAAAAAUCAGCCCUUUUUAAUAGUUUCUUCGAUUAUGUGAUCUCGAUUUUUUAUUUGAUGUGUAAUUGGAGAGGAAGAGGGGUUAGAGAGAGAAAGGAAAGCUGUGUGAACAUUGAGAGAGAGAAAGCUUCCAAAAAAAGUGAUGAUUGUGAUGAGAUGCACAACACAGCAGAAGGGAGAAGAGAUGGAUGGAUAUAGGUGGCUAGGGUAACAAUGAAUCGCAGCUUAGUUGGCAAAAAAGUUUCUCCGUCAUAUAUUCUAUGAUGAACCAUUGUUAACUUUUUUAGAAAAAAAUUUGGCUAGUUUCUAUAUAAAUAUAGAGAGAAUUGGAGACCAAUAGAAAAAGAGAGUGAUGAGGUGGAAUGUUUUGUCUUUUUCUAUAUGUACAUGUCACACCACUUAUGCCACAUAAUGUCCACAUAAGUAAAUGAUUUUUAUGACCAAGUUUUAAGAUACUAAGCCUCCGCAAUGGAAGUCCAUCGCAGGGCCGAUGCGAAGCCUAUAUACCAUCGGCUGGGGCGAUUGAUCGGGCAUGGGGCGAAGCCGAAAGGGAUGAGAGAUAGGCCCCCUUGCGAUCGGCCCUCAUUGCUAGUGCUAUCUCCUUGUGAUCGGCUCCCAUUGCUAGUGCUAUAAGCGAUAAGAGAUUAAAUCAUCAUUUUAUAUUUUUUAUUAUUUUUAAAUUUGUAAAUAAAUGUAAAGUUGAAAAGGUGACCACAUUAGAGAUAAGGCGUGAAAUCAUCAUUUUAUUAUUAUUUUUAGUGUUUAAGAAAAUUGGUUUCAUCGAA
Molecule: long non-coding RNA, 860 nt
Organism: Salvia splendens (bonfire salvia)
Lineage: Eukaryota; Viridiplantae; Streptophyta; Magnoliopsida; Lamiales; Lamiaceae
Exons: 2
Source: RefSeq, a predicted model, not a curated record